This 345-nucleotide ribosomal RNA is filed under the name uncultured bacterium. RNAcentral's name for it is "bacterial SSU rRNA". It matches the Rfam family "Archaeal small subunit ribosomal RNA", at positions 383 to 727 of the family's 1478-position model. The record is from RNAcentral.
GCGCGAAAACUUUACAAUGCUGGCUGUCCAGGUGUGUAAAAUACACCUGUUAGCAAGGGCCGGGCAAGACCGGUGCCAGCCGCCGCGGUAACACCGGCGGCCCGAGUGGUGAUCGUGAUUAUUGGGUCUAAAGGGUCCGUAGCCGGUUUGGUCAGUCCUCCGGGAAAUCUGACAGCUCAACUGUUAGGCUUUCGGGGGAUACUGCCAGACUUGGAACCGGGAGAGGUAAGAGGUACUACAGGGGUAGGAGUGAAAUCUUGUAAUCCCUGUGGGACCACCUGUGGCGAAGGCGUCUUACCAGAACGGGUUCGACGGUGAGGGACGAAAGCUGGGGGCACGAACCGG